RNAcentral lists this ribosomal RNA (708 nucleotides) under uncultured bacterium. RNAcentral describes it as "bacterial SSU rRNA". It matches the Rfam family "Bacterial small subunit ribosomal RNA", at positions 57 to 761 of the family's 1533-position model. The record is from RNAcentral.
GCAGUCGGACGGCAGCACGGACUUCGGUCUGGUGGCGAGUGGCGAACGGGUGAGUAAUGCAUUGGAACGUACCGAGUAGUGGGGGAUAACUAGUCGAAAGAUUAGCUAAUACCGCAUACGCAUUGAGAUGGAAAGCGGGGGAUCUUAGGACCUCGCGCUAUUUGAGCGGCCAAUGUCUGAUUAGCUAGUUGGUGGGGUAAAGGCCUACCAAGGCGACGAUCAGUAGCGGGUCUGAGAGGAUGAUCCGCCACACUGGGACUGAGACACGGCCCAGACUCCUACGGGAGGCAGCAGUGGGGAAUUUUGGACAAUGGGCGAAAGCCUGAUCCAGCCAUGCCGCGUGUCUGAAGAAGGCCUUCGGGUUGUAAAGGACUUUUGUCAGGGAAGAAAAGGUGAUUGCUAAUAUCAGUCGCUGAUGACGGUACCUGAAGAAUAAGCACCGGCUAACUACGUGCCAGCAGCCGCGGUAAUACGUAGGGUGCGAGCGUUAAUCGGAAUUACUGGGCGUAAAGCGAGCGCAGACGGUUUGUUAAGCAGGAUGUGAAAUCCCCGAGCUCAACUUGGGAACGGCGUUCUGAACUGGCAAGCUAGAGUAUGUCAGAGGGGGGUAGAAUUCCACGUGUAGCAGUGAAAUGCGUAGAGAUGUGGAGGAAUACCGAUGGCGAAGGCAGCCCCCUGGGAUAAUACUGACGUUCAUGCUCGAAAGCG